AAAAAUAAAGCCCUUAUUAUUGCUAGCCUCUUCUCAUCCUUAUCUUCUCCAGUUCCCCUCCUGUUCCUCUCUUGGAGCUCGCGCCCUCUUCACGAGCACUUCUCCUCUUACUACUCUUCUCAAUCUCACAACUCCCAAAAAUAAAAAAAAAAUAUUCAAAACAAAAGGAAACAAAGCAGUCCCCAAAAAUCUGAAAGUUGAUACAAAAAACCAAGCAAAAAAAUCAGACUUUUUUCUUCUUCAAACUCCUCCAUUCAUCAUCCCACAUGAAAAAUCAUCCAACUUUCUUGAAAACCAAUUCCUUGUCAAAAUUCAGCACUUGUCACACAAACCCAAUAAUCUGAAAAAAAAUCCCACAAAAAAAAAGAAGAAAAAAAAAAGAAACACCAUUAGAGAAAAUCCCAAGAAAAUGAAGAGAGAUCGUGAUAGAGAAAAAUCCCAAGAUGGUUCUUCUUCUGGUAAAUCUAAGAUUUUUGAAGAAGAACAACCAGAUGCUGGAAUGGAUGAGCUUUUAGCUGUUUUGGGCUAUAAGGUUAAAUCUUCAGAUAUGGCUGAAGUAGCACAAAAACUUGAACAACUUGAGAUGGCUAUGUGUACAACAUUAGAAGAUGGAAUUUCUCAUCUUUCUACUGAUACAGUUCAUAAAAAUCCUUCUGAUCUUUCUGGUUGGGUACAAAGCAUGUUAUCUGAGCUCAACAACACUUCAGUUCCCUCUAAUUUCGACAUGAUUGGUAGUAUUGGAGAAAAAGAUUUAUGUGUAUCUCCGGGUGAUGGUGCAUCUUCUAGUAGUAUUACCAUUAAUGAGCAAAACAGAAUUAUUUCUGAUGACGAUUUGAGAGCAAUUCCAGGGGGAGCUGUGUUUGCAACAGAAAGUAAUAAAAGACAGAGAUCUUGUGUACCACUAACAGCAGAUGCAACAACAAGGCCAGUUGUACUUGUAGAUUCACAAGAAACUGGUGUUCGACUUGUGCACACAUUAAUGGCGUGUGCUGAAGCAGUUCAACAAGAGAAUCUUAAUGUAGCUGAUGCGCUUGUUAGACACAUUGGAAUUCUUGCUGUUUCACAAUCUGGUGCUAUGAGAAAAGUUGCAACUUAUUUCGCUGAAGCAUUAGCUCGAAGAAUUUACAAAAUUUACCCACAAGAUUCAAUUGAAUCAUCUUAUACUGAUGUGUUACAGAUGCACUUUUACGAAACAUGGCCAUAUCUCAAAUUUGCUCAUUUUACUGCAAAUCAAGCAAUUCUUGAAGCUUUUACAAAUUGCAAUAAAGUUCAUGUGAUUGAUUUCAGUUUAAAACAAGGGAUGCAAUGGCCAGCACUUAUUCAAGCUUUAGCUUUACGUCCAGGUGGGCCACCAGCAUUUAGGCUUACUGGAAUNUGAUUUACGGUCAAGUACUGAAACAGAAGUGGUGGCUGUUAAUUCAGUUUUUGAGCUACACAGAUUAUUAGCAAGACCUGGGGCUGUAGAAAAAGUGUUGAAUUCGAUCAAACAAAUGAACCCGAAAAUCGUGACGAUUGUUGAACAAGAAGCGAAUCAUAACGCUAGUGUUUUUUUGGACAGGUUUAACGAGGCAUUACAUUAUUAUUCAACAAUGUUUGAUUCGUUAGAGAGUUCAGUAUCAUCAUCGUCUACUGGGUUGACUCAGCCGAUUGUUAACAAUCAAGAUUUGGUUAUGUCUGAGGUGUAUUUAGGGAGACAGAUUUGUAACGUGGUGGCUUGUGAAGGUGUGGACCGAGUUGAGCGGCACGAGACGCUGAGUCAGUGGCGAGUUAGGAUGAACUCGGCCGGGUUCGAUCCGGUUCAUCUCGGUUCGAAUGCGUUUAAGCAAGCGAGUAUGCUGUUGGCGUUGUUUGCGGGCGGCGAUGGUUACAGAGUUGAAGAGAACGAUGGGUGUUUGAUGUUGGGUUGGCAUACUCGGCCACUCAUCGCCACCUCCGCGUGGCGGCUCAAGGCGGCCGGUGAUGCCGAGUUGUUGUGAGUCAACUCAGGGAAGUAACUGAGUCAACUCGGGUACCCCACCCCCCUUUUCCCUUCCCCUCACAUGGUGAAUUAUCAGUGAAUGGAUGGUGGGUGGGUGCGUGGGUGGUGAUUGUAAUGUGAGGAACAAUGAGAGAGACGUGCCUCAAAAUGGGUCAAAUCAUGUCUUUUACUUUUUAACCUCUUUAUAAGUCA
This is a non-coding RNA of Nicotiana tabacum (common tobacco), 2170 nucleotides long. The record is from RefSeq and is a predicted model, not a curated record. Lineage: Eukaryota; Viridiplantae; Streptophyta; Magnoliopsida; Solanales; Solanaceae.